UUGGAGGGCAAGUCUGGUGCCCGCAGCCGCGGUAAUUCCAGCUCCAAUAGCGUAUAUUAAAGUUGUUGCAGUUAAAAAGCUCGUAGUUGAAUUUUGGGGUCAGUAGGCUGGUCGUGCCUCAGGUACGUACUGGUCUUACUGAUUCCUCCUUCCUGACGAACCGUAAUGCCAUUAAUUUGGUGUUGCGGGGAAUCUGGACUGUUACUUUGAAAAAAUUAGAGUGUUUAAAGCAGGCUAACGCUUGAAUACAUUAGCAUGGAAUAAUGAAAUAGGACGAUCGAUCCUAUUUUGUUGGUUUCUAGGAUUGACGUAAUGAUUAAUAGGGAUAGUUGGGGGCAUUAGUAUUCAAUUGUCAGAGGUGAAAUUCUUGGAUUUAUUGAAGACUAACUACUGCGAAAGCAUUUGCCAAGGAUGUUUUCAUUAAUCAAGAACGAAAGUUAGGGGAUCGAAGACGAUCAGAUACCGUCGUAGUCUUAACCAUAAACUAUGCCGACUAGGGAUCGGAUGAUGUUAAUUUUUUAAUGACUCAUUCGGCGCCUUACGGGAAA
RNAcentral lists this ribosomal RNA (548 nucleotides) under uncultured Glomeromycotina. Its description in RNAcentral is "SSU rRNA". It matches the Rfam family "Eukaryotic small subunit ribosomal RNA", at positions 548 to 1097 of the family's 1831-position model. Lineage: Eukaryota; Fungi; Glomeromycota. The record is from RNAcentral.